GCAUGACUCUUCAACCUCAGGACUUGCAGAAUUAAUGGAAUGCUGUCCUAAGGUUGUUGAGUUGUGC
Molecule: microRNA precursor, 67 nt
Organism: Gorilla gorilla gorilla (western lowland gorilla)
Lineage: Eukaryota; Metazoa; Chordata; Mammalia; Primates; Hominidae
Gene: MIR676
Product: microRNA 676
Source: Ensembl